Molecule: long non-coding RNA, 252 nt
Filed under: Mytilus galloprovincialis (Mediterranean mussel)
Lineage: Eukaryota; Metazoa; Mollusca; Bivalvia; Mytilida; Mytilidae
Source: RNAcentral
UUGGGUAGAAUUUACCUGGACACUGGUCAGUGAAAGACGUCCAUUAUUUACCCAGACUAUUAUAGCAGAAACCCAUAUUGACAGAUUGUGUAUUUACUAUAUUCAUCUACAUAGUUUUCCAGACAUGACUAGUAAGUUGCACUUUCUUCUUUAUUAACAUUUUGACACGAAUUAAUAGAUUUGGUUAACUUUCCUAUUUUCAAGUAAAUACUCUUCAGAUUGCAUGUUUAUAACAUCGGAAUGAAAGAUUUG